GACGGAGGGUGCUAGCGUUGUUCGGAAUCACUGGGCGUAAAGGGCGUGUAGGCGGCCAAGUAAGUGAGAUGUGAAAUCCCCCGGCUUACCCGGGGACCUGCAUCUCAUACUGCUUGGCUUGAGUAUGGGAGAGGAUGAGGGAAUUCCUGGUGUAGCGGUGAAAUGCGUAGAUAUCAGGAGGAACACCGAUGGCGAAGGCAGCCCCCUGGGCUAACACUGACGCUCAUGCACGAAAGCGUGGGGAGCAAACAGG
Molecule: ribosomal RNA, 253 nt
Filed under: uncultured bacterium
Lineage: Bacteria
Description: partial 16S ribosomal RNA
Rfam family: Bacterial small subunit ribosomal RNA
Source: RNAcentral